UACAUGGGGUGCAAACGUUGCUCGGAAUUAUUGGGCGUAAAGCGCGCGUAGGCGGUUACUCAAGUCGGAUGUGAAAGCCCUCGGCUUAACUGAGGAAGUGCACCCGAAACUGAGUAGCUAGAGUACUAAAGAGGGUCGCGGAAUUCCCGGUGUAGAGGUGAAAUUCGUAGAUAUCGGGAGGAACACCAGUGGCGAAGGCGGCGAUCUGGGUCGAUACUGACGCUGAGGUGCGAAAGCGUGGGGAGCAAACAGG
Molecule: ribosomal RNA, 253 nt
Filed under: uncultured bacterium
Lineage: Bacteria
Description: partial 16S ribosomal RNA
Rfam family: Bacterial small subunit ribosomal RNA
Source: RNAcentral